AAAUAUCAUGAGUAUCAUUGAUUUUGGGCAUUGUGUUGUCAUUUGCUUGCAACAUGGAUUUUUCACACACAUGCCAUACCUCCUUCCUUACCUUUUCUGACCAAGCAACACACCUUUUUCAUGCAUGCACAUGAUGCCCCAAAUUGGCCAAAUAUGGAAAUGUUCCAUUUUCCCUUCCUUCUCUUUUCACUCUCUCCCAAGUCCCAUG
This 208-nucleotide long non-coding RNA is filed under the name Lathyrus oleraceus (garden pea). RNAcentral describes it as "Pisum sativum (pea) long non-coding RNA (PSAT_LNC010420)". Lineage: Eukaryota; Viridiplantae; Streptophyta; Magnoliopsida; Fabales; Fabaceae. The record is from RNAcentral.